CCUUGCAGUUCUGCCAACUCUUUUCAGGUCAUAUAUGCUGUUAUUCAUACUUGCAUAAUGAAUUUAAUGCUUCUAGAAGAGACGUAAGUUAGGUGUUUGUGUUUCUCUUUUUUCCAACGCUGUUUAUCAUUUCUUUGCAUCUAUGUGCCAUUGAAACUCCAUGUGUCUCUUCCUCCUCCAUUCCUGUGAGAGCCCGUCUCCUUUGGAACCCAUGUCUCUAUCAGAAGAGUGUUGUAACAUAGCUUUCCUAGAAGCAAAUACUGUUAAGCUUUUGCUUAUCUAAACAUGUUGGCCAGGAGGAGGUUAAAC
This 309-nucleotide long non-coding RNA is filed under the name Felis catus (domestic cat). RNAcentral's name for it is "lncRNA (ENSFCAG00000053139.1)". The record is from RNAcentral. Lineage: Eukaryota; Metazoa; Chordata; Mammalia; Carnivora; Felidae.